Non-coding RNA from Tetranychus urticae (two-spotted spider mite), 836 nucleotides. The record is from RefSeq and is a predicted model, not a curated record. NCBI's taxonomy places the organism in Eukaryota, Metazoa, Arthropoda, Arachnida, Trombidiformes, Tetranychidae.
ACAAUUCAUGUGUGUAAUCAAAAUGAAAUUGCAAGAAAGUAAAUUGUUUCAAAUCACUCGUCUGUCUUUAAUUAAUGAUUAAUGUCUAUUUGUUUUCUAUAAAAUGUGGGCGACGAUUACUUUAUCUAUCUGGACACUUGAUGAUCAAUCAUUGUUUACAAGUUUAUUGGUUGAUUAUCAUGGGUCACUGUAUUACCUGAUGAAUGGAUAACUAGGAAACAUAAUUAAUGAUAAACAUCAACAUAAUUAUCAAACGGUUCAAUGGAAACACCAGAAGGGAAAUUAUUCAAUUGAAAAUCCAUACCUUGGCAACUAUUAUCAAAUAUUCUCAUGAGUUAAUUUUACCAAUGAAUCCCUAAAAGAGUCCAACAAAUAAUUGUAAAUGAAAGAGGGUGAACAAAACAACAAAGAUUCUCAAAGUGGGAGCAUUAAAAUGAAAACAAGAUGAUGACAAUGAUGAUAAUUAUUGAUUGGCCUAGCUGGAUGGCAAAACCGUGAAAAUUUUAAUGUAAAGGUAGCAGAAUUUUUAGGCAACAAUCAAAGAGGAGCAAAAUCAAAGCCAAAAAAACAAAAAACAACAUUCAGUGAUGAUUAUGUCCAAGGUUCAUUUAUAUUGAAUUUGGAAAUUCACUCUUUACGGAGAUUUCACCUGUGUAGCUACAGUUUUUGUUUCGUCUUUUACAUGUGCUUCAAACGGUAAACUAUUUCAUGUGACAACUUUGUUUCUUCAGUUGACUUUUGUUAAUCUCUUAAUUUUGUGUAAAUUGUUUGCAAAAGCGUUAAACCUGGACCUAUUAAAGAUUGAAGACUUUUUCAGUCUCAUUUGAGAUGCUCAA